UCCCUGGUGGACCAGUGGUUAAGACUUGGCACUUGCACUGCAGUGGCCCAGGUUCAAUCCCUGGUCAGGGAA
Aethalodelphis obliquidens (Pacific white-sided dolphin) is the source of this 72-nucleotide non-coding RNA. The record is from the annotation of a RefSeq genome assembly. NCBI's taxonomy places the organism in Eukaryota, Metazoa, Chordata, Mammalia, Artiodactyla, Delphinidae.